RNAcentral lists this ribosomal RNA (411 nucleotides) under Triticum aestivum (bread wheat). Its description in RNAcentral is "partial small subunit ribosomal RNA". The record is from RNAcentral. Lineage: Eukaryota; Viridiplantae; Streptophyta; Magnoliopsida; Poales; Poaceae.
AUGGAUUUUCUUGAACCAAUGAUAGCCUUAGACGAGACGCAUUAUCAAGACGGUUACAAAGAUGGUUAUGAUGAUGGCAUGGUAUCUGGAAAAGAAGAAGGAAGGCAGGUCGGUUUAAAGUUGGGUUUCCAGGUAGGUGAAGAGCUAGGUUUCUAUCAGGGCUGCUUGGAUGUGUGGAUGUCAAUAAUUCGCCUUGAUCAAGGUGCAUUCUCAGCUCGGGUCAGGAAAUACAUGGAGCAACUAGCUGCACUUCUAAGCAACUAUCCUUUGUCUGAUCCAGAGAAUAAUCACCUUCAGGACAUGAUGAAGGAGAUAAGGCUGAAAUUCAGGGUUAUCACGGGAAGCUUAGGAGCAAAAUUGGGGUAUGAAGGUCGUCCCACAUCAUCAGAGCAAGACCUUGAGGAUAUUUAG